CUGUCCUCUGUCUAAUAGAAUAAUUGUUUUUGGGUUUGUUAAAAACACCGGAGAGUAGAGAGGUAAGCUAAAAACAUUUGAAAAUGUAUAGUGAGCAGUGGGGAGUAGGAGUGAUUAUAUAAAUAGGAAAUGAAGAUGAUAGAUGAUACUAGUAUGAUUAGCUGUAAACUGAGAUUAAAAACGAAAAGCCUGCUACUUUUUUGGUAAAGUUAGGGGAUGGUCACCGAUGGAAUGAUGGGGUUUUGGGAAAGCUGAAGCUGCCCACCCAUACCGGAACUGCUAGAUCUACAUAUUGGUAUGCUUUCAUUCACAAAAUUAUUUUUGUAACGCCUUGUUUCUGUUUUCAUGUUGAAAAGGAAUCUUUCAAAGGGAGCUUUUCCUUUUUCUUCUUCCGUGGCAUGUUAUGUUCAUCUUGCUGGUGCGUUGGUGUGCGCGGUUUUCUUUUUAAUUUGCGUCAUCUUUAGGGUCGGAUUUUGCUAUUCAGGCUCGGGAUCCCUUUGAAUUUAUGGGCUUCUCUUCCUCUCUUUAUGUGUAUUUUGAUUCUCCAUUCUCAUGGUUUGUUUUACCUAGUCAGUCAAUCACAUUAGUUGUUACUAUUGUACCAUUUAGGUAUUGUGACCUUUUGCGAAUAGUUUUGUGCUUGGGUUUUUACGGGUGUUUCUCUGUUUGAUCUUUGUGUACAUUUCAUGUGCUUCUGGUUGUAUGAAGAGAUGUAUUUCGAACUGUGGACUAUCAUUUGGUUGAAAUUUCAUAUAUGUUUCGCGAGUCUGAGGUGACAUGCGCC
Molecule: long non-coding RNA, 784 nt
Filed under: Gossypium raimondii (Peruvian cotton)
Lineage: Eukaryota; Viridiplantae; Streptophyta; Magnoliopsida; Malvales; Malvaceae
Description: long non-coding RNA (GRAI_LNC003080)
Source: RNAcentral